GCCCCUGUGGCGGAAUUGGUAGACGCGGCAGACUCAAAAUCUGUUGCCGGCAACGGCGUGCUGGUUCGAGUCCGGCCAGGGGCACCA
RNAcentral lists this transfer RNA (87 nucleotides) under Oceanibacterium hippocampi. Its description in RNAcentral is "tRNA-Leu". It matches the Rfam family "tRNA". From Rfam's summary of the family: Transfer RNA (tRNA) molecules are approximately 80 nucleotides in length. Their secondary structure includes four short double-helical elements and three loops (D, anti-codon, and T loops). RNAcentral also lists the same sequence under 1 other name. Lineage: Bacteria; Pseudomonadati; Pseudomonadota; Alphaproteobacteria; Sneathiellales; Sneathiellaceae. The record is from RNAcentral.